GCCUGGGUGGCUCAGUCGGUGAAGCGUCCGACUUCGGCUCAGGUCACGAUCUCGCGGUCCGUGGGUUCGAGCCCCGCGUCGGGCU
Felis catus (domestic cat) is the source of this 85-nucleotide non-coding RNA. The record is from Rfam. NCBI's taxonomy places the organism in Eukaryota, Metazoa, Chordata, Mammalia, Carnivora, Felidae.